GAUGAACGCUGGCGGCGUGCCUAAUACAUGCAAGUCGAGCGAACGGACGAGAAGCUUGCUUUUCUGAUGUUAGCGGCGGACGGGUGAGUAACACGUGGAUAACCUACCUAUAAGACUGGGAUAACUUCGGGAAACCGGAGCUAAUACCGGAUAAUAUUUUGAACCGCAUGGUUCAAAAGUGAAAGGCGGUCUUGCUGUCACUUAUAGAUGGAUCCGCGCUGCAUUAGCUAGUUGGUAAGGUAACGGCUUACCAAGGCAACGAUGCAUAGCCGACCUGAGAGGGUGAUCGGCCACACUGGACCUGAGACACGGUCCAGACUCCUACGGGAGGCAGCAGUAGGGAAUCUUCCGCAAUGGGCGAAAGCCUGACGGAGCAACGCCGCGUGAGUGAUGAAGGUCUUCGGAUCGUAAAACUCUGUUAUUAGGGAAGAACAUAUGUGUAAGUAACUGUGCACAUCUUGACGGUACCUAAUCAGAAAGCCACGGCUAACUACGUG
This 497-nucleotide ribosomal RNA is filed under the name uncultured bacterium. RNAcentral's name for it is "partial 16S ribosomal RNA". It matches the Rfam family "Bacterial small subunit ribosomal RNA", at positions 28 to 507 of the family's 1533-position model. The record is from RNAcentral.